UGUCCGACGAUAUUGCCAGCAGAGAUACAUUUUGCCACGUCGGAUAUUGACAGAUCGAGUUUCUGGUACAGUGUCACUUCCCAAGGUGGGACCAUUUCACCGUCGCUAUCUUUCCGCUCCACGUCGUUUUCUUGGUCACUACGUCGUUUUGCUGCGAGGACGACGUAUAACGCCGCCAUGAGUAAAACACACGCAACGCAAAGAAGAACAAUCAUCACCACGCGCGCUUCCCUCGCUCGGCGACCUGAUUUUCCACCACCUUGGCCUGUGCAAUUGUUGCCGGAGAAGCAAAGAGAAGGAUUCCCUGAGAGAACGUUCAAUGGAAGCUUCUCGAAGAACGGUGUGUUUGGAACGUGACCUGAGAAUUUGUUGAAUGAGAUAUUGAGAACAACGAGAUUUUCCAAUCCGGCAAGAUAAUCAAGGUUUCCGGUGAGAAUGUUGUGAGAUAAAUCAAGAACUCCGAGUUUUGUUAAGCUUGAAAACUCGUGAGGAAUCUUGCCGGAAAGUUGGUUUGUGCUCAGAUUUAAAGCUAUUUCCAGUGCCGGAAUGUCUCCUAUGGUGCUAGGAAUUUCACCGGAGAGUUGAUUGCUGCUGAGAUCAAGUAACUGUAACUUCUCACAUGAACCAAGCUUCAUCGGAAUUUUACCGGAGAUUCGAUUCUGCCGGAGAAUAAGUUUUGUUAGAGCAGCAAGGGAGCCGAGAGAAGGAUUCAAUGCACCUUCGAUCAUGUUAUCGGAGAAAUCAAGAAAUUGAAGUGAAACCAGCUCGCUCAAACUAUCCGGCAAGGCUCCGGCGAUGUAAUUUGAAUGCAAAUCCAAGAAAGUAAGAUUCCGGCAACCGGAGAUUUUCUCCGGGAUAAUCCCUUCAAUCCUAUUACUCCCUAGGUCAAGGAAAUUCAAAUUCUUGAGAUUACCAAUCUGAGAAGGAAUAAAACCAGUAAUGUUGUUAUUAUUCGCUCGGAAGCGAAUAAGAGAAGAACAAUUCCCAAUCUGAGAGGGAAUUUUACCAGAGAGAUUAUUAGAGAGAAGCAAAAGCUUGUUGAGAUUUUGAAGCUGAAAUAUACCUUUUGGUAUGGGACCAGUUAACAAAUUCUGUGACAGAUCAAUAGCUUCAAGGUUUUGACAAUUGGAAAGAGUUGAAGGUAUAUUACCUUGUAACUUAUUAUGCCACAAAAACAACAAUGUUAGAUUCCCAAGGUUUCCUAAUUCGGAAGGUAUUGUACCGGUUAUAAGGUUGUUAUCAAUCUCCACGUGUGUUAGUUGUUGACAGUUCCCCAAUUCUGCAGGAAUUUCACCAGAAAUUUGAUUCACACUUAAUUGGAGUUCUUGUAACAGAGUUAAAUUCCCAAAGGUUUUGGGAAUGCUUCCUGUUAUUGAAUUCAUCGAUGCGUCGAUGACUGAUAAUUGAUAACAGUUUCCAAUCUCUGAGGGAAUAGUGCCAACUAAAUUGUUUUGCCACAGUAGCAGGUUUUUGAGAUUUUUAAGGUUUCCUAAUUUGGUUGGAAUGGAACCUGUGAGUGAGUUUUCAUAAAGGUAAAUAUUUUGAAGAUUUGUGCAGUCACCAAUUUCAGGUGGAAUUUGACCAGAGAGGUGUGAAGAGUAAAUGGUUAAUGUUUCAAGCUUUUUUAGUAGUCCAAUAGUUGGUGGAAUGAAACCUGAGAUGCUUGUUUCUGCUAAGCCCAACAUGAUCAAAUUGGAACAGUGUCCAAUUUCCUGUGGUAUAGGUCCUUCUAGAUUCUUGUUUCCUCCAGCUCUUAUCACUUGAAGAUUCUUCAUGUUGCGGAUUGUGUUUGGAAUUUUGCCACUGAGCUGAUUGUCAUAUAGGGUCAGCUUUGUUAAUUUUGUGAGGUUACCAAUUGCAAUUGGUAUUGAUCCCACAAGCUCGUUUGAGUUCAGAUGAAGUUCCUCGAGCUUGGGCAAGUAGCAGAGUUCAAUUGGGAUUUCGCCGCUCAAAGCAUUGUCACUUAAGUCCAAGUAGCUGAGUUCAACAAGAUUGCCUAUUUCUUUAGGGAUCGAACCGGUGAGAUUCGUUCCCGUUAAGAUAAGACUAGUCAAGGAUACCAAUGAUGUGAAAUUUGUUGGGAGUUUUCCAAGCAAAUCCACAUACCUUAGAUCCAAUUGUACUACUUCAUUCUUCAUAUUGCAACUCACUCCAAACCAGCUACAUGGUGUGUCUUCAAUUGGGUCCCAAUUACUCAAAAUCUCCAAGGAACCAUUCAAGGUUAUCUUCCAUGAAAGAAGAGCUUCCCCUUGUGUGUUCACAGCAAUAGAGAGGAAAAAAUGGUAUGGAAGUAAAAGGAAAAUGGAUAAGAAGAAGAGGGUCCAUGGAUUUUUAGGCAUUACAACUAUGCUGCUACAAACUCCAAUGAAAGAACACACAAGUAGAAAAAAAAGGUUUGAUUGAUUUUUGAGCCUAGGGAGGAACAACAAGAAGGAACCAAAUCAUGUCUUGUGGGUUACUGCACAAUAAAGAGUUAUGUGAAAUUAAAAAAUAGACAGAAUCUCUGGAUCCAAGAAACAGCUAGGCCAUGAUGUUUUUAAAGGGGUGUGAAAUGGAAUUUUAGAUGGUUGUUUAUAAGUAUUUGUUUAUGUUUCAAGUGGAGUGUUAUGGUGGGGAGAAAGAUUAUAACAGUUUUUAAAAUUUUGAGAGUGAGCAACAGAGACGGGUGGGUGAGUGCAUUUCUUUCUAAA
This 2690-nucleotide long non-coding RNA is filed under the name Medicago truncatula (barrel medic). Its description in RNAcentral is "lncRNA gene26186". The record is from RNAcentral. Lineage: Eukaryota; Viridiplantae; Streptophyta; Magnoliopsida; Fabales; Fabaceae.